GGCCGGUUGGCUCAGUUGGUUAGAGUGCAGUGCUUGUAACACAAGGUUGUGGGUUUGAUUCCCACAUGGGCCA
Molecule: non-coding RNA, 73 nt
Organism: Hipposideros armiger (great roundleaf bat)
Lineage: Eukaryota; Metazoa; Chordata; Mammalia; Chiroptera; Hipposideridae
Source: the annotation of a RefSeq genome assembly